UGCGGUAUUUUAACUGUACUAAGGUAGCAUAAUAAUUUGCCUUAUAAUUUGAGGCUAGAAUGAAUGGUUUGACGAAGGUUAAUCUGUCUCUAUUUUAUUUUUUAGAAAUUAAUUUUUAGAGUGAAAAAGCUUGUAUUUUUUAAAGGGACGAGAAGACCCUAUUGAGCUUGUAAUUUUAUUACUAUUGUUAAUAUUAUUUGAGUGGUAUAUAAAUUUUAAUUGGGGUGAUUAAGGAAUAAAAUGAUUUUUAGUAACUUCCUUAUAUUUAAUAUUGUUAGAUAAAGUAACCAAUAUAUUAUUGCUUAUAUUAUAGUUACCAUAGGGAUAACAGCGUAAUUUGUUUAGAGAGUUCUUAUUGAAAAACAAGAUUGCGACCUCGAUGUUGGAUUAAAGUAACCUUAAGGUGCAGAAGCUU
RNAcentral lists this ribosomal RNA (415 nucleotides) under Histioteuthidae environmental sample cf. Stigmatoteuthis hoylei. Its description in RNAcentral is "partial 16S ribosomal RNA". It matches the Rfam family "Bacterial large subunit ribosomal RNA", at positions 1932 to 2564 of the family's 2925-position model. The record is from RNAcentral. Lineage: Eukaryota; Metazoa; Mollusca; Cephalopoda; Oegopsida; Histioteuthidae.